AUAGCAACCACAAGUCCUUCCCUAAAACCCAAGACUCCUGCACUGCAAAACAUGCAGUCAAUGAAAUUGGCAUUGUGACCUUUGUGAGCUGCUUGAUCCAGGUGUCCAGAUAAAGAAUUCUGCAGCCAGCAACUCAUUCCUAAAGGGAACAGGCCGAAAUUCACACCAUUAAAGCUGAAAAAUAUCUGCUUUUGUCAAUCACUUGGAGACCUUAUAGAUGACAAAAAGCAAGUCUGUGUUCUGCUCUGUCAUGCAUCAUGGUGAAAUUGCCAGCCAACACUUGUUCUUCGACUCUUCAUUGCUGAUAAUGAGGUACAGAAGGAAAAGAACAUGGCUCGAUUUUUUUUUUUUUUUUUUUUGGAUGCUAAAUUGAGCUUUCAGAACUCAGAGUUGGAGACAGAAACCAAUACAGAUUUAGCACAGGGUCACGAUGCCCUUUGUUAAAGAGAAACUUUUCAUGCUUGCAACCACUUGUAGCUCUGAGGAAGGGCAAGGAUUAGCUGUGUCUCUUAGGGCUAUUUGCAUGGCAAUUAUCUUCAUAACCCUGAGAACUCAGAGGAAAAAAUGCAGCAUAGUCUAGUGAAUAAGCUUUAAAUCAAUAAUUUCAAGCCUCUACAUGGACAAGAAAAGAAGUUCCCACCCUGGGAUGUGUGUGGAGACGCAGUAUCACAGCUUAGGGGAUUGGCCCUAAAAUUAAACACAGAAAGCAAAUGAAGUAUAUUGAGUAUAGUUUAGUAUACCACUUAGUUCACUCUCGUGGUUUGAAUAUGAACUACACCCCCAAAGGCUUGUGUAUUGAAGGACUGAAUCCCAAAUUGUGGUGCUAUUCGGGAAGUGUCAUGUUGCUGGAGUAAAUGAAGCACUGGACACCGACAUGCUGUAGAGGUUUAUCCCUGGCCGCCAGGGCCUCAUUGUGUCUCACUUCCUGUUCAUAAAGUGGGUAGCUCCUGCUGCUGUUAGGUUCUGCCUACCAGGCCUCUUACGUCAAUGAAGCCAAGGACCGUGGAUCUCUGGAACCCAAGAAACCUAAGUAACUCUUCACUUGUUUAGAUCAAGGACUUCAUUUCUGCAAUGGAAGGCUAUCACAUUCACUGUUCUAGCUCCUUCUGCCAUCAUUCUUUGUUCUCUGACUCUAAGGUCUUCUUCCCAGCUACCUUGUAGCUGGGUUUUCGAAUAAUUAAAUGAAAUUAGUUAAGCAUGAAUUUUUCAAUAACUACAAAGAAUUUUUAUCUGCCAAAGGCAUUUUCU
Molecule: long non-coding RNA, 1248 nt
Filed under: Cricetulus griseus (Chinese hamster)
Lineage: Eukaryota; Metazoa; Chordata; Mammalia; Rodentia; Cricetidae
Description: lncRNA (ENSCGRG00015033611.1)
Source: RNAcentral